CCUACGGGUGGCUGCAGUGAGGAAUAUUUGUCAAUGGGCGCGAGCCUGAACCAGCCAAGUCGCGUGAGGGAAGACGGCCCUACGGGUUGUAAACCUCUUUUGUCGGGGAGCAACGGGCGCCACGUGUGGCGCCACUGAGAGUACCCGUAGAAAAAGCAUCGGCUAACUCCGUGCCAGCAGCCGCGGUAAUACGGAGGAUGCGAGCGUUAUCCGGAUUUAUUGGGUUUAAAGGGUGCGUAGGCGGAGCGUUAAGUCAGUGGGAAAAUUUAGGGGUUAAACCCCUUCCCGCCAUUGAAACUGGCGCUCUUGAGUGGAAGAGAAGUAUGCGGAAUGCGUGGUGUAGCGGUGAAAUGCAUAGAUAUCACGCAGAACCCCGAUUGCGAAGGCAGCAUGCCGGCUUCCUACUGACGCUGAAGCACGAAAGCGUGGGGAUCGAACAGGAUUAGAUACCCUGGUAGUC
Molecule: ribosomal RNA, 460 nt
Filed under: uncultured bacterium
Lineage: Bacteria
Description: partial 16S ribosomal RNA
Rfam family: Bacterial small subunit ribosomal RNA
Source: RNAcentral